AUAUUUCCACUGAAUAGAAUUGUCAGAAAAUCUAGAUCUUCAGGCAUCUUGGGGAAAAUCAGUGCAAGAAUCCUCAGGGAGUCAUUUGUUCAAAUAACCUAAUCUAGGCCUUUGGAAUUGUUAAUUUGUAUGAAUAGCACUAGUUUGAAAUAUAGUGAAUAUAAAGCUGUUCUAUUUUGGGUUUGUUUUUGUUUUUGUUUUCAAUUUUCUUCUGGUGAUUUGCCUCUUUAGCUCUUCAAAGGAAUCUAAAGACAGCAAGGCAUCAUCUAAAGAUGACAAAGGAAGUACAAGUAGUACUAGUGGUAGCAGUGGAAGCUCAACUAAAAAUAUCUGGGUUAGUGGACUUUCAUCUAAUACCAAAGCUGCUGAUUUGAAGAACCUCUUUGGCAAAUAUGGAAAGGUUCUGAGUGCAAAAGUAGUUACAAAUGCUCGAAGUCCUGGGGCAAAAUGCUAUGGCAUUGUAACUAUGUCUUCAAGCACAGAGGUGUCCAGGUGUAUUGCACAUCUUCAUCGCACUGAGCUGCAUGGACAGCUGAUUUCUGUUGAAAAAGUAAAAGGUGAUCCCUCUAAGAAAGAAAUGAAGAAAGAAAAUGAUGAAAAGAGUAGUUCAAGAAGUUCUGGAGAUAAAAAAAAUACGAGUGAUAGAAGUAGCAAGACACAAGCCUCUGUCAAAAAAGAAGAGAAAAGAUCGUCUGAGAAAUCUGAAAAAAAAGAAA
RNAcentral lists this small RNA (716 nucleotides) under Pongo abelii (Sumatran orangutan). RNAcentral's name for it is "retained intron". The record is from RNAcentral. Lineage: Eukaryota; Metazoa; Chordata; Mammalia; Primates; Hominidae.